UACGAAGGGGGCUAGCGUUGUUCGGAAUUACUGGGCGUAAAGCGCGCGCAGGCGGCUUCUCAAGUCAGGGGUGAAAGCCCAGAGCUCAACUCUGGAAUUGCCUUUGAAACUGUGAAGCUUGAGUACGGGAGAGGUGAGUGGAAUUCCCAGUGUAGAGGUGAAAUUCGUAGAUAUUGGGAAGAACACCGGUGGCGAAGGCGGCUCACUGGCCCGUUACUGACGCUCAGGCGCGACAGCGUGGGGAUCAAACAGG
Molecule: ribosomal RNA, 253 nt
Filed under: uncultured bacterium
Lineage: Bacteria
Description: partial 16S ribosomal RNA
Rfam family: Bacterial small subunit ribosomal RNA
Source: RNAcentral